UACGGAGGGUGCAAGCGUUAUCCGGAAUCACUGGGUUUAAAGGGUGCGUAGGCGGCGAGGUAAGUCAGUUGUGAAAUUCCCCGGCUCAACCGGCGGGACUGCGAUUGAUACCGCUUUGCUUGAAACAGGUUGAGGUAAGCGGAAUGUGGCAUGUAGCGGUGAAAUGCAUAGAUAUGCCAUAGAACACCGAUUGCGAAGGCAGCUUGCUGGGCCUGAUUUGCCGCUGAGGCACGAAAGCGUCGGGAGCAAACAGG
RNAcentral lists this ribosomal RNA (254 nucleotides) under uncultured bacterium. RNAcentral describes it as "partial 16S ribosomal RNA". It matches the Rfam family "Bacterial small subunit ribosomal RNA", at positions 524 to 776 of the family's 1533-position model. The record is from RNAcentral.